RNAcentral lists this ribosomal RNA (525 nucleotides) under uncultured archaeon. RNAcentral describes it as "bacterial SSU rRNA". It matches the Rfam family "Archaeal small subunit ribosomal RNA", at positions 299 to 824 of the family's 1478-position model. The record is from RNAcentral.
GAUUCUGAGACACGAAUCCAGGCCCUACGGGGUGCAGCAGGCGCGAAAACUUUACAAUGCUGGCAACAGCGAUAAGGGAACCUCGAGUGCCAGGUUACAAAUCUGGCUGUCGAGAUGCCUAAAAAGCAUUUCAUAGCAAGGGCCGGGCAAGACCGGUGCCAGCCGCCGCGGUAACACCGGCGGCUCGAGUGGUAACCGUUAUUAUUGGGUCUAAAGGGUCUGUAGCCGGCCGGAUAAGUCUCUUGAGAAAUCUGGCAGCUUAACUGUCAGGCUUUCAGGAGAUACUGUCUGGCUCGAGGCCGGGAGAGGUGAGAGGUACUUCAGGGGUAGGGGUGAAAUCUUGUAAUCCUUGAAGGACCACCAGUGGCGAAGGCGUCUCACCAGAACGGACCUGACGGCAAGGGACGAAAGCUAGGGGCACGAACCGGAUUAGAUACCCGGGUAGUCCUAGCCGUAAACGAUACUCGCUAGGUGUCGGCCACGGUGCGACCGUUGUCGGUGCCGUAGGGAAGCCGUGAAGCGAGC